RNAcentral lists this ribosomal RNA (279 nucleotides) under uncultured bacterium. RNAcentral describes it as "partial 16S ribosomal RNA". It matches the Rfam family "Bacterial small subunit ribosomal RNA", at positions 8 to 310 of the family's 1533-position model. The record is from RNAcentral.
AGAGUUNGAUCAUGGGCUCAGAACGUACGCUGGCGGCACGCCUAACACAUGCAAGUCGAACGAAGUAGCAAUACUUAGUGGCAGACGGGUGAGUAACAUGUAGGUAUCUNCCCUUUGGCCUGGAAUAGCACGAGGAAACUUGUGCUAAUACCGGAUAAGUCUUUACGGAGAAAGCUUUAUGCACCAUUGGAUGAGCCUGCACUUGAUUAGUUUGUUGGUGGGGUAAGUGGCCUACCAAGACUGUGACUCAAUAGCUGAUUUUGAGGAGGGAGUGACUCA